RNAcentral lists this long non-coding RNA (284 nucleotides) under Brassica napus (rape). RNAcentral's name for it is "long non-coding RNA (BNAP_LNC024460)". Lineage: Eukaryota; Viridiplantae; Streptophyta; Magnoliopsida; Brassicales; Brassicaceae. The record is from RNAcentral.
AUUUGUAACCUGAGAAACAAAACCGAAAGAUAAAGGUGUUAGGAUCCAUAAAACAAAGUAAAUGUAAAAUAAAUUGUAUAGUAUAACAAUAAUGUGGAAUGGAAACUAUGUAAGAGGUAAUGAUAUGCAUAGCUCAUGAUCAUAAACAACACAUGGGAAUAUAUACGAAGCCCUAUCAACUAAUCAUGAAACCCUACACAGAAAUAUGACACUUAAUUCAAUGUCAACCCCAAUCUUGCAAUGACGAACUCAAUAUUCCAGAAACUAACCCCUCUCUAAUCAUC